GCUAUUUGUGUAACAUAAUCAACCACAUAUUUUUUAUAGUGUUUUACUCCGUGCUUGGCUAGAAAAAUAAAUACAAAUGGAAACUCGCAAGUUGCCGAAAAUCUUCGCCGUGAUUCUGCUAAAAAACAGUUUUAAUGGAAUUAAAACCAACAAAUGUACGCGUAAAUCACCCCGUAUUUUGCCUAUUUUUAACGUGAAGUGAUGUUUCAAUGGUCUGUAUGAUGGCUGCUGCAAAAAAAAAACAACUGAAAAUUUCACCGCUACUGUCCCCAACCUCAAGGAAUGUUUGGAUUACCUGUGGAUUCGGCUACAAAUUGGGAUAUAAGGACCGCGGACUAGCCAAACCGUACAACCCACCUGCCGCCACAUGCAACAAAUUAGGUUGCACCAGGCGUAUCUUCCGGAUUCGUAGCUGUAGUAGAACGGCUUAUCUGAAGCGAAAAGUUAGGACGCGACUGGAUUUCCACGAUGGUGCAUCAUCCUGCAGGAUUUCCAACUUAUCAAUGAAGACAACCGCUGUUAUGGCGUAGGCGCGAUUUUAAUUUUUUUUGUAUCCACUUGUGAGCGGUUAAACAAGUCCUCAAAAUGAAAUCGGAGUUUGCCGGAAAAUCAAAAGUGCAAAUUAGAGAUUUAAGAAGCAAAAAAAAAUUAAAAAUCGAUUUGUAUGAUAUAAACGCAA
This is a long non-coding RNA of Aedes aegypti (yellow fever mosquito), 679 nucleotides long. RefSeq lists it as uncharacterized. NCBI's taxonomy places the organism in Eukaryota, Metazoa, Arthropoda, Insecta, Diptera, Culicidae. The transcript has 2 exons. The record is from RefSeq and is a predicted model, not a curated record.